AUGAGCAUGCGUCCCAUUAGCUAGUUGGUAAGGUAACGGCUUACCAAGGCAACGAUGGGUAGGGGUCCUGAGAGGGAGAUCCCCCACACUGGUACUGAGACACGGACCAGACUCCUACGGGAGGCAGCAGUGAGGAAUAUUGGUCAAUGGGCGCAAGCCUGAACCAGCCAUGCCGCGUGCAGGAUGACGGUCCUAUGGAUUGUAAACUGCUUUUGCACAGGAAGAAACCCUCGGUCGUGACCGAGCUUGACGGUACUGUGAGAAUAAGGAUCGGCUAACUCCGUGCCAGCAGCCGCGGUAAUACGGAGGAUCCAAGCGUUAUCCGGAAUCAUUGGGUUUAAAGGGUCCGUAGGCGGCCAGAUAAGUCAGUGGUGAAAGCCCAUCGCUCAACGAUGGAACGGCCAUUGAUACUGUUUGGCUUGAAUUAUUUGGAAGUAACUAGAAUAUGUAGUGUAGCGGUGAAAUGCUUAGAGAUUACAUGGAAUACCAAUUGCGAAGGCAGGUUACUACAAAUUGAUUGACGCUGAUGGACGAAAGCGUGGGUAGCGAACAGGAUUAGAUACCCUGGUAGUCCACGCCGUAAACGAUGGAUACUAGCUGUUGGGAGCAAUCUCAGUGGCUAAGCGAAAGUGAUAAGUAUCCCACCUGGGGAGUACGUUCGCAAGAAUGAAACUCAAAGGAAUUGACGGGGCCCGCACAAGCGGUGGAGCAUGUGGUUUAAUUCGAUGAUACGCGAGGAACCUUACCAAGGCUUAAAUGUAGAUUGACCGGGUUUGGAAACAGACUUUUCGCAAGACAAUUUACAAGGUGCUGCAUGGUUGUCGUCAGCUCGUGCCGUGAGGUGUCAGGUUAAGUCCUAUAACGAGCGCAACCCCUGUUGUUAGUUGCCAGCGAGUCAUGUCGGGAACUCUAGCAAGACUGCCAGUGUAAACUGUGAGGAAGGUGGGGAUGACGUCAAAUCAUCACGGCCCUUACGCCUUGGGCUACACACG
Molecule: ribosomal RNA, 992 nt
Filed under: Flavobacterium psychrophilum
Lineage: Bacteria; Pseudomonadati; Bacteroidota; Flavobacteriia; Flavobacteriales; Flavobacteriaceae
Description: bacterial SSU rRNA
Rfam family: Bacterial small subunit ribosomal RNA
Source: RNAcentral